This 201-nucleotide ribosomal RNA is filed under the name Helicobacter pylori. Its description in RNAcentral is "partial 23S ribosomal RNA". It matches the Rfam family "Bacterial large subunit ribosomal RNA", at positions 1985 to 2185 of the family's 2925-position model. The record is from RNAcentral. Lineage: Bacteria; Pseudomonadati; Campylobacterota; Epsilonproteobacteria; Campylobacterales; Helicobacteraceae.
UGCCUGAGUGAUUGGCGUAACGAGAUGGGAGCUGUCUCAACCAGAGAUUCAGUGAAAUUGUAGUGGAGGUGAAAAUUCCUCCUACCCGCGGCAAGACGGAGAGACCCCGUGGACCUUUACUACAACUUAGCACUGCUAACGGGAAUAUCAUGCGCAGGAUAGGUGGGAGGCUUUGAAGUAAGGGCUUUGGCUCUUAUGGAG